Molecule: ribosomal RNA, 379 nt
Filed under: uncultured bacterium
Lineage: Bacteria
Description: bacterial SSU rRNA
Rfam family: Bacterial small subunit ribosomal RNA
Source: RNAcentral
UAAUACGUAGGUGGCAAGCGUUGUCCGGAAUUAUUGGGCGUAAAGCGCGCGCAGGCGGCUUCUUAAGUCUGAUGUGAAAUCUUGCGGCUCAACUGCAAGCGGUCAUUGGAAACUGGGAGGCUUGAGUGCAGAAGAGGAGAGUGGAAUUCCACGUGUAGCGGUGAAAUGCGUAGAGAUGUGGAGGAACACCAGUGGCGAAGGCGGCUCUCUGGUCUGUAACUGACGCUGAGGCGCGAAAGCGUGGGGAGCAAACAGGAUUAGAUACCCUGGUAGUCCACGCCGUAAACGAUGAGUGCUAAGUGUUAGAGGGUUUCCGCCCUUUAGUGCUGCAGCUAACGCAUUAAGCACUCCGCCUGGGGAGUACGGCCGCAAGGCUGAA